CUUGGUCAUUUAGAGGAGUAAAAGUCGUAACAAGGUUUCUGUAGGUGAACCUGCGGAAGGAUCAUUAGUGAAUUGAAUAUGUUAGCGGACCUCUUCGGAGUCCCUAGCAUCAAAUCAUAUCCAUAACACCUGUGAACUGUAAGGCUGUCUUGAAAACGAAAGUGAUUAGAGCGCCUGCCCAUUUUAUACAAACAUUAAAGUAACAAACGUAGUCUUAUUAUAAUCUAAUAAAACUUUCAACAACGGAUCUCUUGGCUCUCGCAUCGAUGAAGAACGCAGCGAAAUGCGAUAAGUAAUGUGAAUUGCAGAAUUCAGUGAAUCAUCGAAUCUUUGAACGCACCUUGCGCUCUUUGGUAUUCCGAAGAGCAUGCCUGUUUGAGUGUCAUGAAAAUAUCAACCUUGACUUGGGUUUAGUGCUCUUGUCUUGGCUUGGAUUUGGCUGUUUGCCGCUCGAAAGAGUCGGCUCAGCUUAAAAGUAUUAGCUGGAUCUGUCUUUGAGACUUGGUUUGACUUGGCGUAAUAAGUUAUUUCGCUGAGGACAAUCUUCGGAUUGGCCGAGUUUCUGGGACGUUUGUCCGCUUUCUAAUACAAGUUCUAGCUUGCUAGACAUGACUUUUUUAUUAUCUGGCCUCAAAUCAAGUACGACUACCCGCUGAACUUAAGCAUAUCAAUAAGCGGAGGA
Molecule: ribosomal RNA, 682 nt
Filed under: uncultured fungus
Lineage: Eukaryota; Fungi
Description: eukaryotic LSU rRNA
Rfam family: 5.8S ribosomal RNA (bases 232-385)
Source: RNAcentral